Hyaena hyaena (striped hyena) is the source of this 272-nucleotide long non-coding RNA. RefSeq lists it as uncharacterized. The record is from RefSeq and is a predicted model, not a curated record. The transcript has 3 exons. NCBI's taxonomy places the organism in Eukaryota, Metazoa, Chordata, Mammalia, Carnivora, Hyaenidae.
AAUAUGGAAGAAAUGAAGUUUCAGUGGUCUAACAAUUGAGAAAUGUGGAUUCUAGUGCUGAAUGUGACACCAGCAGUCUAACAGGGUAAAGAGUUUCUUGCCACUCCUUUUGUCACUGUGUUGACCUCUCUCUCCAGAUUUUCUUCAUGGCCAGUGGAGGUCAACUCCUAUGCUUUCCUCACAUUGACUUAAAUUGGUGUCCAGGACCCAGGCUGAAGGCACACAAUGCUACAGGAGAGUAAAAGGUUAUAUAAUCAAUCAACAGGCUGUUG